CUGAAAUGUUUUAGCAGAAUCACUCUGGCUGCUGUGCUGAAGACAGAUGCAUAGCUAGAUGAGGGGUGAUGUCAAGGGCAGAAACAAAUGUCUCUCAGCAACAGCCCAAGAAUAACCAAAGGAGAAGAAGAUGGCUUGGACCAGACCACAGAAGAAAUCCAGAAUCCAGUCAUGUCUCAGGAUGCCUGAUCUACCUUUCUCGCUCACCUGGAAGUUUCAGGAUCUUUGUAACGAAUCUCACAGUUUCUACCCUUGCUUUUGUCCACCCAUGCCCCACUCCCUAUCGUUGUCUAUUCUCUGCCCAGCAGCCAGAAUGAUCCAUUUUAAAUAUGACAGAUCAUCUGCAUUUCCUGUAUAAAACCCUCUGAUGGCUCUCAUCUCACUCACACAACCUCCAGAGUUCUCACUGUGGCCUUAAGGCCCUGUGUGAUCUGGUUCUAUUACUCCCCAGCUUCAGCUUCUUGUCUCCUUCUCCCGGUACCAACUCCAGCCUGGUCACC
This 500-nucleotide long non-coding RNA is filed under the name Mustela putorius furo (domestic ferret). RNAcentral's name for it is "lncRNA (ENSMPUG00000024857.1)". The record is from RNAcentral. Lineage: Eukaryota; Metazoa; Chordata; Mammalia; Carnivora; Mustelidae.